Molecule: long non-coding RNA, 527 nt
Organism: Crotalus tigris (Tiger rattlesnake)
Lineage: Eukaryota; Metazoa; Chordata; Lepidosauria; Squamata; Viperidae
Exons: 3
Source: RefSeq, a predicted model, not a curated record
CUAUUCAAGCCAUGUAGGAGCUCCAGCGCUCAGGUGAAUAUCAAAUUUCAAUAGACAUCCUAGCUUUGACAUCGUUACAGCCUGGAGCCUCUUCGAUGCUUCUCACUGCAAGGUAUGAGAAGGGGUCUCACGAAGCCGAGCUCACUUCCAGCAUUCUCAUAAUGGCAGGCAAUCGCUUCCUCCAGACGCUGAACUUCCCAGUGCUUCAGCUAGACGGCCAAGAAAGUCUGACACCAUUUCUUCCUUAUUUCUGCAACAUUGUCCUUUCCCCUGAAAAGAUCAAAAGCAAAGGUCUUCUGCUGAUGCAUCCAUGACCACUGCAGCUGAGUCCAUCCAUCUUGUUGCUGGUUGUCCAUUUACCAUUUCUAGCAUUAGAGUCUUUUCUAUAGAGAUCUUAACAUAAUGUGCCUUCAUGUUAAAUCUGGUUCUGAUGUCAGCAUAAAUUACACUUUCAUAUAAAACUAAUAAAGAUAGUAGUUUUGCAGUAACAAAGAGCAACCGUAAGAAUAAAAUAUGGAUUGGCAGAA